Long non-coding RNA from Monodelphis domestica (gray short-tailed opossum), 245 nucleotides. RefSeq lists it as uncharacterized. NCBI's taxonomy places the organism in Eukaryota, Metazoa, Chordata, Mammalia, Didelphimorphia, Didelphidae. The record is from RefSeq and is a predicted model, not a curated record.
AGAUGAGGAGACCGAGAUUACGUGACUUCCCCAGAAUCAAACAACUAAUGAAGAAACUGAGACCCAGAGAGAUGAAAUGACCAGUUCAAGCCACAAAGAGAGCCAAGAGUCAUCCAGGAUGAAAAUUCAGGCCUCUAGACCAUGUUCUAAGACAUGCUGCCUCUCUUUAUCUUUGUAUCCUUUACAUUGUCGGGGAGAGUGUCUUUGUUUUCAGGUGCCCAAUAAAUACCCAUUGAAUGAAUGAA